RNAcentral lists this transfer RNA (72 nucleotides) under Pangasianodon gigas (Mekong giant catfish). Its description in RNAcentral is "tRNA-Asp". It matches the Rfam family "tRNA". Rfam says of the family: Transfer RNA (tRNA) molecules are approximately 80 nucleotides in length. Their secondary structure includes four short double-helical elements and three loops (D, anti-codon, and T loops). Lineage: Eukaryota; Metazoa; Chordata; Actinopteri; Siluriformes; Pangasiidae. The record is from RNAcentral.
UCCCUGGAGGACUAGUGGUUAGGCCAUGGUGCUAUCAUCGCCACGGCCUGGGUUCGAGUCCCAGCCAGGGAA